ACACGGUCCAGACUCCUACGGGAGGCAGCAGUGGGGAAUAUUGGGCAAUGGGGGCAACCCUGACCCAGCGACGCCGUGUGAGGGAUGAAGGCUUUCGGGUCGUAAACCUCUGUCAGGAGGGAAGAACCGCAUGGGGAUGAACAAGCCCUGUGCCUGACGGUACCUCCAAAGGAAGCACCGGCUAACUCCGUGCCAGCAGCCGCGGUAAUACGGAGGGUGCAAGCGUUAUUCGGAAUUACUGGGCGUAAAGCGUGCGUAGGCGGCUUGGUAAGUCAGGUGUGAAAGCCCUCGGCUCAACCGAGGAACUGCAUUUGAUACUGCCAGGCUAGAGUGUGGGAGAGGGCAGCGGAAUUCCCGGUGUAGGAGUGAUAUCCGUAGAUAUCGGGAGGAACACCAGUGGCGAAGGCGGCUGCCUGGAC
Molecule: ribosomal RNA, 419 nt
Filed under: uncultured bacterium
Lineage: Bacteria
Description: bacterial SSU rRNA
Rfam family: Bacterial small subunit ribosomal RNA
Source: RNAcentral